RNAcentral lists this non-coding RNA (31 nucleotides) under Mus musculus (house mouse). The record is from RNAcentral. Lineage: Eukaryota; Metazoa; Chordata; Mammalia; Rodentia; Muridae.
UGCUAUUAGAAACAUGAUUCAGGGUUUAUGU